This 416-nucleotide unclassified non-coding RNA is filed under the name fungal sp. Its description in RNAcentral is "partial internal transcribed spacer region". The stretch from base 1 to 46 matches the Rfam family "Eukaryotic small subunit ribosomal RNA", at positions 1786 to 1831 of the family's 1831-position model. Lineage: Eukaryota; Fungi. The record is from RNAcentral.
AAGUCGUAACAAGGUUUCCGUAGGUGAACCUGCGGAAGGAUCAUUAACACGUAUCCAACGUUAAACCCCCUGUGAACCUUAAGCGUGCUCUUGCAGCCUCUAUAGGAACAGCAAUCCUGGUAAAUCAGUCCGAGAAAAGUUUUUGAUUCAGGACCUCUGUCUAAAAGGAUGCAAUCGAGCGCUGGAGCAAGUGGCUUGGUUUCCCCAAGCAGUUAGUAUUCUGAAAGUGUUGCUAAUUGUGCAAGGAUAACGCUUUACGAUUGCUGUAGGCCGAACACCGGCCGGCGACUCGGUCACCGGGCUCACGCCCCCUAGCUCACAAACCCAAGUUAUCUAUAACGGACGCCUCCACAGCAAGUGCGCCGGAGCUUACGUCCAAAACCGAACAACUGUUAACAAUGGAUAUCUUGGUUCUC